GGGGGCGACAGGCUUCGACGGGUCUAGUGAAGCUUCCGUUGCGUGCCCAGGUUCUCAGUUACCUGGUUAAACAACUGGGAAACAAACACAACUGCCAAUACUGACUUGGCUCUGGCUGCGUAAGCUAACGCUUGUGCACCUGCCCACGUGGCAGCCCGCCUGAGGCGGUGCGUGGGUAUCGCAAAAUCGGGCUGGCUCUCGGUUACGCUCCUGAUCCGAGGGUAAGAUAUCAAGGAGCUUAUCCGGCGGUUGGAUGGCUGCGUGCCAGCCGCCGGUGAAAUCAAAGCGCAGCCUACGCACGUAGAGACGGAUUUGGAUCGAGGUUCGGACCGGGGUUCGAUUCCCCGCGCCUCCAUCA
RNAcentral lists this transfer-messenger RNA (358 nucleotides) under Gemmatimonadales. RNAcentral describes it as "G020351775 sp020346845 Standard tmRNA". It matches the Rfam family "transfer-messenger RNA". Rfam says of the family: Bacterial tmRNA, also known as 10Sa RNA or SsrA, is named for its dual tRNA and mRNA-like properties. Its role is to liberate the mRNA from a stalled ribosome. The record is from RNAcentral. RNAcentral also lists the same sequence under 1 other name. Lineage: Bacteria; Pseudomonadati; Gemmatimonadota; Gemmatimonadia.